UGCAGAUAUUCACCCAAUACUCCACAAAGAAAGGAGAAAAAGUGAGUGCAGCACUUCUGUCUGAUGACAACAGCCAGUGCAGUGACAGUGAGGAAGGGAACAGGAGAAUCAUUUUGUGAGGAAAAAGAGAAAGAAUAGAAAAUGUGUUUGUUCCUGCCUUUUGCUGAAGGUUGCAUUUCAUCCACAGAGUGUUCCCACCAAUCCUGAACUCAGCAUGUGAUGCCAAAGGAGAGGCAGAUCUCAGAGGAUGGCAUGGGAGUGGAACAGCACACCUGGGGCUCUACAGCAGAGUUUUUGCUGCCACAGGGUCUAAGGAGUACAUAAGAACACAAUACAGUGCUUAAGGAUUCUGAACUUGCAGAAAUCACCAUGAUCCAUAUUUCCUACCCACUCCUGUCUAUGGCCAAUGGUAUUGCAGCUCAAAUCCAGCUAAGAAGUCUUAGUGAAAUGAAGAAGUUGGACUUCCUUGUUUUACUAUUAUCUCAUACUGCCCCUUCUUUUCUGGAGAGAGAAAGGAAAAAGAGAAGGGAGAGGAAAAAAACUGAAACUGGAGAAAGGAGAAUUGAGAUGUUUUCAGGACCCGAGAUGAAAUAUUUUGUGCUGAAUUUGAAGCAUUUUAUUCAGUGA
RNAcentral lists this long non-coding RNA (627 nucleotides) under Cyanistes caeruleus (blue tit). Its description in RNAcentral is "lncRNA (ENSCCEG00000018136.1)". Lineage: Eukaryota; Metazoa; Chordata; Aves; Passeriformes; Paridae. The record is from RNAcentral.